Molecule: transfer RNA, 66 nt
Filed under: Donax variegatus
Lineage: Eukaryota; Metazoa; Mollusca; Bivalvia; Cardiida; Donacidae
Description: tRNA-His
Source: RNAcentral
AUGGGAGUAGUUUAUAUAAAAUGAUUUGUUGUGGACUAAUAGAAAGGUUGAAUUAUCUCUCUCAUA